RNAcentral lists this non-coding RNA (244 nucleotides) under Albugo candida. Its description in RNAcentral is "Eukaryotic large subunit ribosomal RNA". It matches the Rfam family "Eukaryotic large subunit ribosomal RNA", at positions 3162 to 3401 of the family's 3401-position model. Lineage: Eukaryota; Oomycota; Peronosporomycetes; Albuginales; Albuginaceae. The record is from Rfam by way of RNAcentral.
AUCACCUUUCCUGAUGAGACGCGAAUAGCGAUAGAUGUGUUUUGCACAUCCUACAUCAUACAAUUGCAUCGUCCUCUACUGCUUGUCAAGUAGAAGCGGUAGAGAGAAUGCUGAAUUGCAAUUUCAAUAAUUGGGAAAGAUAAAUCCUUUGUAGACGACUUAAAUACAGAACAGGGUAUUGUAAGCAUGAGAGUAGUCUUGUACUACGAUCUGCUGAGAUUUAGCCCUUGUUCUAUGGAUUUGU